This 809-nucleotide ribosomal RNA is filed under the name uncultured Acidilobales archaeon. RNAcentral's name for it is "bacterial SSU rRNA". It matches the Rfam family "Archaeal small subunit ribosomal RNA", at positions 85 to 879 of the family's 1478-position model. The record is from RNAcentral. Lineage: Archaea; Thermoproteati; Thermoproteota; Thermoprotei; Acidilobales.
ACKGCUCAGUAACACGUAGUUAAUCUACCCUUAGGAUGGAGAUAACCCUGGGAAACUGGGACUAAUAUCCGAUAGAUGAAGAUGUCUGGAAUGGCUUUUCAUCUAAAGGUUUCUAGGAACAUGCUUCUAGGAAUGCCUAAGGAUGAGACUGCGUCCGAUCAGGCUGUUGGUGGGGUAACGGCCUACCAAACCUAUAACCGGUACGGGCCCUGAAGGGGGAAGCCCGGAGAUGGGAACUGAGACAAGGUCCCAGGUCCUACGGGGCGCAGCAGGCGCGAAACCUCCACAAUGCGCGAAAGCGUGAUGGGGUUACCCCGAGUGUUAUCCGUGAGGAUAGCUUUUCCCCAGUGUAAGGAGCUGGGGGAAUAAAGGGGGGGCAAGUCUGGUGUCAGCCGCCGCGGUAAUACCAGCCCCCUGAGUGAUAGGGACGACUAUUUAGCCUAAAGCGUCCGUAGCCGGCUUAGCAAGUCUUUCGUUAAAUCUGACGACUUAAUCGCCAGGCCGCGGAAGAUACUACUAGGCUUGAGGGCGGGAGAGGUUGACGGUAGUCCUAGGGUAGGGGUGAAAUCCUAUAAUCCUAGGAGGACCACCAGUGGCGAAGGCGGUCAACUAGAACGCGCCUGACGGUGAGGGACGAAAGCUGGGGGAGCGAACCGGAUUAGACACCCGGGUAGUCCCAGCUGUAAACGAUGCGGGCUAGGUGUUGGAGCAGCUACGAGCUGUUCCAGUGCCGCAGAGAAGUUGUUAAGCCCGCCGCUUGGGAAGUACGGCCGCAAGGCUGAAACUUAAAGGAAUUGGCGGGGGAGCAC